CGCCACGAAGGAGCCCUCUCCUUCCAGGACUGCGACACCAAAGUCCAGUGCUCCCCCGGGCAUUACUACAACACCAGCGUCCAUCGCUGCAUCCGCUGCGCCGUGGGCACCUACCAGCCGGAUUUUCGGCAGAAUUACUGCAUCGCCUGUCCCGGCAACACCACCACUGACUUUGACGGCUCUACCUCCGUGUCCCAGUGCAAAAGUAAGCGAGCUGGGGGGCAAUGGGUCCCCCAACUACCCGGGGAAUUACCCUGCCAACGUGGAGUGUACCUGGAACAUCAACCCCCCGCCCAAGCGCAAGAUCCUCAUCGUGGUCCCCGAGAUCUUCCUCCCCUCUGAGGACGAGUGCGGCGACGUCUUGGUCAUGCGGAAAAACU
Molecule: long non-coding RNA, 380 nt
Organism: Pterocles gutturalis (yellow-throated sandgrouse)
Lineage: Eukaryota; Metazoa; Chordata; Aves; Pterocliformes; Pteroclidae
Exons: 3
Source: RefSeq, a predicted model, not a curated record